CCUACGGGUGGCUGCAGUGGGGGAUAUUGCACAAUGGGGGAAACCCUGAUGCAGCGACGCCGCGUGAGUGAAGAAGGAUUUCGGUAUGUAAAGCCCUAUCAGCAGGGAAGAAAAUGACAGUACCUGACCAAGAAGCCCCGGAUAACUACGUGCCAGCAGCCGCGGGAAUACGGAGGGGGCAGGCGUUAUCCGGAGUUACUGGGAGUAAAGGGAGCGUAGACGGUUAUGUAAGUCUGGAGUGAAAGCCCGGGGACCAACCCCGGGACUGCGUUGGAAACCGUGGAACUGGAGUAGAGGAGGGGCAGGCGGAAUUCCCGGUGUAGCGGUGAAAUGCGUAGAUAUCAGGAGGAACACCGGCGGCGAAGGCGGCCUGCUGGA
Molecule: ribosomal RNA, 378 nt
Filed under: uncultured bacterium
Lineage: Bacteria
Description: partial 16S ribosomal RNA
Rfam family: Bacterial small subunit ribosomal RNA
Source: RNAcentral